UGUAAUGUUAGCUGACUGAAAACUUGCUUUAGAUAGUUCUAGCUUGUAUUACUAAUUCUAAACAUGAGAGCUAUAUGUUUCCCAUAUUAACAAGCAUCAAUAUUAUAUUAAACAUCCAGAUUUAAAUUCAUAUUUACAAAAGACAAAUAAUAAAGCUGUGUUUUUAUUAACAUAACUACCAUAAUCAAUAUUCAAGAUUUUACAUUCCCAACCAAGACAAAUAUUUUUUAUUUUCAUUUUUUUCAACAAUUAAUAUUUCAUAAUUGUUUAGUUUUCCUGUUACUAAGAAUUUUUUUUUUACAAAGGAUUAAAGCUAUAGAGACUGAUUUUAAGUAGUGUGAUGGAAAGAUAAGCUCAGAAAAUUCCCCUAAUAAACAGAGGGAAGGGGAGAAUGGUAUUGUACAGCAGUGGUUCUCAAACAUUUUCGUUGUAAGGCCCCCUUUGUGUUAAGUGCAUCGCUUUGCGGUCCCCCAUAUAAAGACAUAUAAUCUUAAAUUUAGAAUUUUAAUUAAACCAAAAACAUUCAGUUUUACAAUGCUGGAACCUCAAUUAUUUUGGUUGGUGGUGUAAUUUUUCUGAUUUUUGAUUGCAUAAAAUCUAUGAUAAAUUUAUAGAUACCUUAUAUCUAUAAAUUAUAUAUUUAUAGAUUAUUAUAUAUUUCAUAAAAUGCCACAAAAUCUGUGCCCCCCCUGGAUCCAUCUUGGGGCCCCCCAGGGGGCCACGGCUCCCAGUUUGAGAACCACUGUUGUACAGGACCUCUGUGCCAUAUUGAAUGUGGGUAAGUAUCUGGGUAACGGAAUAUGUCUACAUAAAAUUCUUGAAGAAAAAAUGUUUUUUUUUGCAAUCAUAAGAUAACCUUUACCUUAACAAUUAUUCUGACAGUGAAAAUAUGUCAUUGAGGUGAGUCAUGUCAUGUAAUUUGUAAAGGUAAUGUGACUACGCAUGAAACAGAGCCGUCUUCAGCGACUUAUAAGCAUUCAGUUUAAGAAUUAACUUGUUUACCUGUCUUUCAUUAAAUUCAAGCCUUUGUUAUCUAGAUUUAUUAACCUCACUUUCACUAUGUGGCCUUGACCUAAGUUAUAUCCUAAUAAAAUAAAAAUAUUGCUUUACUUAAACACAACUUAACAAUAGUAUUGAGUUCUUUAUUUAGCUGGAAUAUUAUCACAAGAUAUGUUUAUGGUACCUUGACAACCCAACUGUCCACUAACGUUAUACAACUUUACAUCUUUUUGUGAAUGUUUUUGUCACAUUUAGAUUUCUCAAGAUCAUCAGUUUUGUUGACCAUCUGGGAAGAAUUCAUCUGUGCCAUUGGCAAGCUGGUGAUCAGGACUUGAAAAGUAAUAUAAAAAGAUGGCUUCCACUUGCAUCUGACAAGAGAGGGCCCGAAACAAGCAAAAUCUUUAUAAGUCUAUCCUUCUUUUAAGGUACACUUACUUGAGGAGAUUCCAGAUGUUUUCUCGAUCACUUCCAUUUGUUAUUGUAAUGUUACAAUUCAAAAAAAUAUCUAAACAUAUAUUUCUCAUAUUUCUUUCGAGCAUUUUUACAUAGGAGCACAUGGCAACACCUACAGUAAAGUAUGAAACUUGAAACCUCUAAAAAAAGUUUGUUCUGUGCAUAGUCUAUUCUCAGUGUAAAGUGUUUUAAGAAGGGAAAAGUAAAUCACAUCCCAAUAAAAUGAUGUUUUGUUGAAAAACAUUUUAAAAAUGGCUUAAUUUUUACAUAAAACUGAAUGUCUAAUACACAUUUAUUUGAGUAGAUUUUAUGAAGUGCAUGAUUAAGAAUAAAUUAUAUACUUAAUUUAGUUUUGUUGUUCUUAUUAAACGCAUGUACAUUUGCUGGCUGAGUGUACAGUUUGUAGAUGGCAUGAUUGUGGCCCUAUGCUGGCAGUGUCAGCUCACUUUAAGCACCCGGACUCGGGCCAGUGGUGGCUGAGUACAGUUUUUAGUUGGCGUGAUUGUGGCCCUAUGCUGGCAGUGUCGGCUCACUUUAAGCACCCGGACUCGGGCCAGUGGUGGCGGAGUACAGUUUUUAGUUGGCGUGAUUGUGGCCCUAUGUAUACAGUAUACAGUAUAAAUAAAAUUUCUAAUUGUGAUGUACAGUGCUGUGUUGAGUUUUAUAAUCGAUGUGCUUUGUGAAUAGAAAAUUACUCCAAUUAUGCAUAAAUUGAAUCUUUAACGCACCGAAUAAAUCACAUAUUAAUUUAAUCCUCCAUGUGAGGGAUGAUAAUUGUUAGUAGUAACAAAAGUCGGCACACCAGAGCUCCAAAAAUAUAAAAAAAUACUUUAUUAUUUAAAAAACUUUGGCAUGGCGCAUGACGUUUCGAGCACACAAGCUCUUCAUCAGACAAUUCAACAACACGAAUGAACCCCAAUUUAUACCUCCAGGUGUACAAGGAUCACACCACAUCCAACAAAUAUAUUUAAAACAUAAAAUACAAUUAUUAUUGCAAAAUACUAAUAUUGCAUCGAUAUACUGUAUAAACACACGCAAAAGUCAAAAUCAUAAUCCAAUGAAAUAUAAAUUCUAAAUUAUGCACCUGGAAGCAUACAAAAGAAAAAAAUAUAUAUAUUGUUAACAGUUCUUGAAACCAAAACCUUUGAAAAAGUAUACAAAAACAUAAUAAAAACUAAAAAAACUUUGAAAAAAUAUUAAAGAAAAGGACGAAUGUCAAAAUCCUAAUUUAUUCCUCUGGGGGAUAACGUGUCCAAUGAUAAUUGUUUAAAUAAAAAAAAAAACUUUUAACAACGUGACUGUUUGGUCGUUCGGACGUGCUCAACACGCCCCAGAAACGUUAUUUGGUACGUCUGCGACGAACAUGGUACGUUCCAGGUAUGUCUUCAGGUCAGGAGGUAAUCACCAUGUCCCAACAAGGUCCAAUGUUACGUCUUCACGACGAAUAUGGGAAUCACAAAGUUACGUUGCUGGAACGUUAAUAUGGUACGUCGUGGCCAUAAAUAUGUAUUAUUUAUAUAUCCGGUCCAGAAACGUCAUCACAACGUUACUGUGUUAGCUGGGUAAUCUGUCGAGACAUCAGAACCAGGGACAAGUUACAAGAGCUGCCAGAUCCUGUUCUCAGCAGGUCAUGUCUCGUGACCACUGACAGCCCGAACCUUGCACCUCUGAAAACGACGGAGCACAUUUUUAAACAGUUGCGCCUUUAUAAGUCGACCUCAGAUUGUACGUUUAAACAACCACAUUCUGCUCUAACGAACUCUUAAAACUACAUUUUGUGACACAACAACACAUGUAUUACAUUUGCCGGGGCUUAAAUCAAACUAAAAGGAAGUGCGGGUGCAGCUUCCCUUUCCAGUGAAAUAAGCUCUCAUCAAAUACACUGAAAUCUUUCAUCAACUAUACCUGAAAUACAGUAUGUUACCUCAGUAGUGCACUAGUGUUUAUAAGAGGCUUUCUAGCAUGCAUAUGAAUGAAUUUCACUAGUGUUUGUAAAAGGUUAUUUAAUAAUACACACGAACGAUUUUCACAGGUUUUUGUAAAAGACUUUUCGGUAAUACAUGUGAAUGAUUUUUGCUAGUGUUUGUAAAAUAUUACAGUAAUACAUAUGGAUAAAUUUACUAGUGUUUGUAAGAUGUAUUUCAUUAAUACAUUUGAAUGCAUUUCACUGUUGCAGAACGAUGUGUUUGUUUCACUAGUGGUUAUAAGAAGUAUUUCAGUAAUACAUAUGAAUGAAUUUCUCCUCAUUCCCAAUCUCCUCUGUAUGCUCGCAGAUGCUUCUAUAGCCAUGAACAUCGUCAUCAGCCUCAGCCACAGGAGCUCAUGAAGAUCCAACUGCUGCAUAAAACCUUUGUGUUAUUUUACUUUGCGGCAUCUGGCUGAAGGGGCUUAUAUCUCCACGCCUCCUUUGCGUUUUUUCUCCAUGAUCUUUCUAACAAUUGUUUUGCGCUGCACACUGACACUGGAUUCUAAAAGGCCGGGGAGUUGUAUGAUUUGGCCAGCCCAUAGCUCAGUGAUUAGAGCAUGGUGUCACAUUUAUAAUUUGACCUCUAGAAAUCCAGUUGUCAGCUGUUUACUCUGAUUGCACGUUUAUAUUUGUCUAGUCCCCGCUCGCAAGAUGGCCGCCAGUCCAGAGCAUGCUCGCAAGAUGGCCGCCAGUCCAGGGCCCGCUCACAAGAUGGCCGCCAGUCCAGAGCCUGCUCGCAAGAUGUCCACCAGUCCAGAGCCCGUUCGCAAGAUGGCCGCAAGUCCAGAGCCUACUCGUAAGAUGGGGGGUUCAAGGACCAGGUGUCUGGUUUCAAGCCUGGAAGAUGCCCAUCUGAUGUUUGUUCGGAGGGCCGGUGUUCCCAAGGUCCAGAGUCCGGUGGUGCCAGAGGUAGCUGGUCCUGAAGCUCUUACUUUUGAAUCUGCUCUGCUGGUUGCUGCAUUGGGGUGUGUCUGGGUUGUGCACUGCUCUCCCGUUCCGGAGGCCAUUGACAAGAUGGCUGCCGAUGAUCUUCCUGAGAUCCCUUUUUCAGUUGCCUGUUCCAGGCAAGAUGUCUGCCGAUGAUCUUCUUGAGAUCCCUGCCUCGGUCAAGAUGGCCGCCGAUGAUCUUCUUGAGAUCCCUGCCUCAGUCAAGAUAGCCGCCUAUGAUCUUCUUGAGUUCCUUGUUUCAGUCAAGAUGGCUGCCGAUGAUCUUCCUGAGAUCCCUGUUUCAAUCAAGAUGGCCACCGAUGAUCUUCUUGAGAUCCCUGCCUCAGUCAAGAUGGCCGCCUAUGAUCCUCUCGAGUUCCCCGUUUAAGCCAAGGUGGCCGAGCCGCUUUCAAGAUGGCCGCCCUGAUCUCUUUGUAACCAUGCUCUGCCUGCCACGGCAAGGUUUCCAGCCUUGCCUGCCACUCACAGGCUUCCAGCCCUGUCUACCACACCCAGGCUUCCAGAUCAGCCUGCGCCUCCCUGCCCUCCAGAACAGCCUGUGCCCCCCUGGCCUCCAGAACAGCCUGCGCCCCCCUGGCCUCCAGACCAGCUUGUGCUUCCCUGGCCUCCAGACCAACCUGCGCCUACCUGGCCUCCAGACCAGCCUGCGCCUCCCUGGCCUCCAGACGGCCACCUCGGCCCAGGUCCGUCUCUGCUCCUCGGCCCAGGCCUCGUUCCCCUUCAUGGGCCUGGCCCUUCAUCCCACCCCCUAUACCGCCACCGCUCCACCACCCUCCUGGACUGAAAAGAAAGAGUUUGCAGACUUCUUUUUGGACCUAUUUGUUAAUGUUGAUAAAGUACUGAUUGUCUGAGAUUUUAAUAUCCACGUAGAUAGUGUUAACGAUGCAUUAGCAGUGGCGUUUAUAGAGCUACUACACUCUUUUGGAGUAACACAACACAUCAAUGGACCCACUCAUCGAUUUAAUCAUACACUAGACUUGAUUAUAUCCCACGGAGCCGAUCUAACCAAUAUAGAUAUCAUAUCUCAAAGCGACCAUGUCACUGAUCACCAUCUUAUAACACGUAUACUGUGCACUGCAGAAAUCAACUCGUAUAACAGGGUAGAACAAUUACAUCGACUACUAUAGAUAGUUUCGCAAAGAGCUUGCCAGAUCUGACUCCUUUAAUAACCAUACCAAUGAAUACAGAAUCGCUCGAUGACAUGACCAGCAACUUGGACACUAUUUUCUCUAACACAUUAGAAGCUGUCACACCUAUGAAGUCAAAAAAGAUUAAUGAGAAAAACAUAGCACCAUGGUACAAUAGCACCACUCGCGCCCUUAAAAGAGAAACACGUAAACUGGAGCGCAAAUGGAAACAAACCCAAUUAGAGGUCUUUAAAAUUGAGUGGAAAGAGAGUGCAAACUGUUAUAAAAAAGCAUUAAUAGCAGCAUAGGCUGAGCACCUCCGAAACCUCAUAGAAACUAACAAAAAUAAUCCAAGUUUCUUAUUUAUUACAGUUGCUAAAUUAACAAAUAAACAGACAUCACCUGACCUGGUUAUUCCACCGCACCUUGGUAGCAAUAAAUUCGUGAAUUUUUUUACUGAGAAAAUCGAAAACAUACGAGACAAAAUAGUGAAAACUCAACCUCCAAGUCUGUCCUAUGUAUUAGUACGAACCAUCGCCCCAAAAGAAAAGCUACAGUGUUUCUCACCUAUAAAACAGGAAGAUUUAAUUAAACUUAUUGCAACAUCUAAACCUACAACAUGCUUAUUAGACCCCAUACCAACUAAAUUAUUGAAAGAGUUACUACCUGUUGCAAUUGAGCCCAUUUAUAACAUUAUCAACUCGUCAAUUAAUCUAGGCCAUGUCCCAGGACCCUUUAAACUGGUCGUCAUUAAGCCUCUUAUCAAGAAACCAAACUUAGACCCCAAUGAACUAGGAAACUAUAGACCUAUUUUAAAUCUCCCUUACCUGUCUAAAAUACUAGAAAAAAUAGUGUCUACUCAGUUGUGCUCUUUCUUAAAAAAUAAUGUCAGGCUUUAGACCGCACCAUAGCACUGAAACUGCGCUCGUUAAAACUAUAAACGACCUGCUUAUAGCAUAAGAUGAAGGUAACAUCUCACUCCAAGUCCUGCUUGACCUUAGUGCUACGUUCGAUACUGUAGACCAUACAAAACUUUUAGAUCACUUACACAAUUAUACCGGUAUUCAGGGACAGGCACUACAAUAGUUCAGAUCUUACUUAUCAGACAGAUAUCAAUUUGUCCAUUUAAAUGGGGAAUCAUCAAAUCAAAGUAAAUUAUGGAUUACCUCAGGGAUCGGUUUUAGGACCCUUGCUAUUCUCCAUAUACAUGCUGACCCUUGGCAACAUUAUUAGAAAACAUGGAAAUAGCUUCCACUGUUAUGCAGAUGAUACUCAGCUACAUAUCUCAUCAAGACCAGAUGAUUCCUUCCAGCUAUCCAAAUUGGCAGAGUGCAUCAAAGAUACAAAUCAUUGGAUGACUAGUCAUUUCCUUCUUUUAAACUAAUAAAACUUUUAUAGAGUUAAAAUAUUACUUAUCGGACCAACGACAUGUAAACAGAAUAUUUCGGAUUAUAACCUGCAAAUUGAAGGCUGCACUGUUACUCCAACAAAUGCAGUUAAAGACCUAGGCGUUAUAUUAGACAGCAACCUGUCAUUUGGAAAUCACAUCUCAAAUGUCACAAAAACAGUCUUCUUCCACCUUAGAAAUGUUGCCAAAUUAUUAAGUAUUCCAUGUGUUGCUGACGCAGAGAAGCUUAUUCAUGCAUUUGUGAACUCAAGGUUUGACUACUGUAAUGCCCUGCUUAAUCAAUGAACAAACUACAGUUAGUUCAGAAUGCAGCUGCCAGAGUUCUAACCAGGUCCAGAAAAUACGAUCACAUAACCCCAAUGUUAUCAUCCCUUCACUGGCGACCCAUUAAUAUUGUAUUGACUUGAAAGUUAUUUUAAUUACUUAUAAAGCCCUGAACGGAUUAGCCCCUACCCACUUAACAGAGCUUCUAUCACAUUAUAACCCAUCACGUUCUCUAAGAUCUCAAAACUCCGGACUUUUGAUAACACCUAGAAUAACUAAAUCCACCAAAGGGGAUAGAACUUUCUCAUACGUAGCACCUAAACUCUGGAAUAGCCUUCUCGAUAAUAUUCGAGGUUCUGACACACUCUCCAAAUUUAAAUCUAGAUUAAAGACAAAUCUUUUCAGCCAAGCUUUCACUUAAUAAAUAAUAUGCUAAAUAAACCACCGGGUGACUGCAUUUAUUAGAUAUUGUCAUGGUUCUGCCCCAUCUUGUCUUGCUUUUCUUGACCUAGUGGCAGAAUCGUGACAGAACCUCUUGUUUUCAUGUGGAGAGAGGCGUUUUGGCCCUGUUGGCCUUCCACUCUCCGGUGUCGCGUCUCUGUUCCCGCCCUUUCGUUGCCUCAUUAUUGAUUGAUUAUUAGUUCAUGUCCCACACCUGUUCCCUCUUGAUUUGUUCCCUUUAUAAGGUCCCUGUGUUUUCUGUCCUGUGCUAGUUCAUUGUCGUUUGUAUGGUGAGUGCCUGUUCCGUGUCAGUCUAGUCUAGUGUAGUCAUUUGUAGUUCAUGUUUAUUUUAAUCUUAGUCUUGUUAGGUGUAUUUAAUCUUAGUCCUGUCCUGUUGUAGAUUCCCCUGUUUUGUUUUGUUACCCCCACGUGGAUCUUUGUUUUGUAUUUAUAUUUUAUUAAAUGUCUUGUUAACCCCUUACCCGCUGUCUGCGUCUGGGUCCCCUGUCCUUGUUCCCUCACCGUCCUUGACAGAACGAACGAGCCACAUACAGAACCCAGUAGGCAGCAUGGGCACUAGACGGUCCCACCAGGCCCGCCUCCUCUGCGGCAUUCGUCAGGAUAACACGGACAUCGAGGACUACCUGGAUAGGUUCCUGGAUGCUGCAGAGGAGGAUGUCUUCGGGGCAGUGUUAAUUUUGACAGCAAAUUUUGAUUUAGUUUUAGUCAUAGUCUUGACGAAAAUGCAAUUUAGUUUUAGUCACAUUUUAGUCAACCCCAUCAUUUUAGUUUUAGUCUAGUUUUAGUCGACGAAAUAUGAAAAACAUUUUAGUCGAAUAAAUAUACAUUAUAUUUAGUCUACUAAAAUCUAAAUGGUUUAAAUCAUUUACUUGGUGUAAUUAAAUGUUCCAUACAAAGAUUCAACUGUUUUGACAUAAUUUACUUCACCUUAGAAUAAAAUUAAACCAGGUCAUUACCUUUAUUUUUCAGAAAAUUCCAGUAACUACACUGCGUUCCAAAUUAUUAUGCAAAUUGGAUUUAAGUGUCGUAAACAUUUAAUUUUAUAUUGUUCAAUUAAACUUAUGGAUGGUAUUGUGUCUCAGUGCUCUUUGGAUCACUGAAAUCAAUCUCAGACACCUGUGAUAAGUAGUUUGCCAGGUGAGCCCAAUUAAAGGAAAACUACUUAAGAAGGACGUUCCACAUUAUUAAGCAGGCCACAGGUUUCAAGCAAUAUGGGAAAGAAAAAGGAUCUGUCUGCUGCCGAAAAGCGUCAAAUAGUGCAAUGUCUUGGACAAGGUAUGAAAACAUUAGAUAUUUCACGAAAACUUAAGCGAGAUCAUCGUACUGUGAAGAGAUUUGUGGCUGAUUCAGAGCACAGAGGGUUCGUGCAGAUAAAGGCAGAAUGAGGAAGGUUUCUUCCAGACAAAUUCAUCGGAUUAAGAGAGCAGCUGCAAAAAUGCCAUUGCAAAGCAGCAAACAGGUAUUUGAAGCUGCUGGUGCCUCGGGAGUCCCGAAAACCUCAAGGUGUAGGAUCCUCCAGAUGCUUGCAGUUGUGCAUAAACCUACUAUUCGGCCACCCCUAACCAAUGCUCACAAGCAGAAACGGUUGCAGUGGGCCCACACAUACAUGAAGACUAAUUUUCAAACAGUCUUGUUUACUGAUGAGUGCCGUGCAACCCUGGAUGGUCCAGAUGGAUGGAGUAGUGGAUGGUUGGUGGAUGGCCACCAUGUCCCAACAAGGCUGCGACGUCAGCAAGGAGGUGGCGGAGUCAUGUUUUGGGCUGGAAUCAUGGGGAGACAGCUGGUGGGCCCCUUUAGGGUCCCUGAAGGUGUGAAAAUGAACUCUGCAAGGUAUGUAGAGUUUCUGACUGAGCACUUUCUUCCAUGGUACAAAAAGAAGAACCAUGCCUUCCGUAGCAAAAUCAUCUUCAUGCAUGACAAUGCACCAUCUCAUGCUGCAAAGAAUACCUCUGUGUCAUUGGCUGCUAUGGGCAUAAAAGGAGAGAAACUCAUGGUGUGGCCACCAUCCUCCCCUGACCUCAACCCUAUUGAGAACCUUUGGAGCAUCCUCAAGCGAAAGAUCUAUGAUGGUGGGAGGCAGUUAGCAUCAAAACAGCAGCUCUGGGAGGCUAUUCUGACAUCCUGCAAAGAAAUUCAAUCAGAAACUAUCCAAAAACUCACAAGUUCAAUGGAUGCAAGAAUUGUGAAGGUGAUAUCAAAGAAGGGGUCCUAUGUUAACAUGUAACUUGCCCUGUUAGGAUGUUUUUGAUUGAAAUAGCUUUUGAUUUCAGUAAAUAUGACCUCCUAAUGCUGCAAAUUCAACAAAUGACCAUUUUCAGUUUUUUACAACCUAUGAAAUGUUUUCAAACUCUGUUGUGCAUAAUAAUUUGGAACAGUGCAUUUUGAGUUUUUCAUUUUUUAAAUAAAUACUGUUGUCAGUGGGAGGUUUGUUCAAUAAAAUUCCAAAUGUACCCUAACUGUUGAUUACUUGAAAAUUAUACUGACUGUCAUUUGCAUCGACAAAUUAGGAAAACCAGAGAAAGAUAUCAUUUGCAUAAUAAUUUGGAACGCAGUGUAGAUAUGCAUUGUUGGAACGCAGAGUAUUAGACCAUGAAUGACAUGUUCCAGUUCGUUCAAUUCCAUUUGACUCAAUUGACUCGUUAAGUAACUCGUUAACUCGGGCGUGUUCAUUCAGUUCAUUCAACCAAUGAAACGCUCUGACACGGCUCACACUCAAAGGCUAUUGGCUCAUGGCAUGCCUCUUUGAAGAAAGAGCGCACUGUCUUUGCUUGAUACAGCAAUGAAUGAGAAUAGCUUUCAAAAAGACAUAUUAUAUAAAUUGUAUUACAUUUCUUUAGUCAUGCAAACAUGUUACAUAUUUGGUUGGAAUGUACAGUUCGACUCACUUCAUCACUUCUAUAAUCAGUAGAGGACAGCGCUGGUUUCUUUUGGCUGACUCUAUGUUGAAUUUCACGUUAUGCAGCAGCUCGUGUUAAGUUAACACAGGCCUAUAAAAACCUUUGAGCUUGCCUUCGUAAUGUGUUUCGGGGUGACUCGCCUGCAGUCGCGCUUCAAGUUUGCGGCGUUUUACCGGCGAUCGUGACGGAAAAUAAGACGCUUUGUAAACCGCGUGGAGACACAGAAUACAUGUCUGUGCUUCUCCUUCUCCCAGAGACUUCUCUCUGCCGUUUAUAUGAGAUAAGCAGCACAUGCGCGCAAACUGAUGUCCGCCAGGUGGGACUAGAAUAUUUUCGUCUCGUUUUUAUUAGUUGACGAAAAUGUCAGUAUAUUUUUAUUACAGUUUUCGUUAUAAUGCAUUCAUUUUUAUUUAGUUAUCGUCUCGUUUUCGUCAGUGAAAACAUGUCGUUAACGAAUACUUUUCGUCAUAGUUUUCGUUAACGAAAUUAACACUGCUUCGGGGAGGAGGAGGCGGCGGUGCUUUUUAACGCCGGUCUCAGGGACCCCCUGUCGCGGGCGGAGAUGCGGUCGUUGAGACCGCUGGACUUCGAUGUCGUGUGGCGGUAUGUCAUGAACCGACCGGAGUCCAGGGUCUCAACGCAACACAGCCAUCCAUCUCUGCUGGCCGCCAUACAUGAGGGUCAGACCCUGCAGAUCGGGGUUAUGGGCAUCGCCACACCGUUCUCCUGUCCAGCUGGCUUUCCAGCCGGCGCCCAUCCUUGUCCACCGACUUGAACGUCGGCGGUCCCCCCCUGGACUCCCCCCCUAAGUCCCCCAGAACUCCGCGCCCUCAAGCGCAACC
Triplophysa rosa is the source of this 11366-nucleotide long non-coding RNA. RefSeq lists it as uncharacterized. The record is from RefSeq and is a predicted model, not a curated record. The transcript is spliced from 3 exons. NCBI's taxonomy places the organism in Eukaryota, Metazoa, Chordata, Actinopteri, Cypriniformes, Nemacheilidae.